Molecule: transfer RNA, 72 nt
Filed under: Camelus bactrianus (Bactrian camel)
Lineage: Eukaryota; Metazoa; Chordata; Mammalia; Artiodactyla; Camelidae
Also listed under: 1 other name
Rfam family: tRNA
About the family: Transfer RNA (tRNA) molecules are approximately 80 nucleotides in length. Their secondary structure includes four short double-helical elements and three loops (D, anti-codon, and T loops).
Source: Rfam by way of RNAcentral
GGGGGUAUAGCUCAGUGGUAGAGCACGUCCUUAGCAUGCACGAGGUCUUGGGUUCAAUCCCUUGUAUCUCCA